Rhinolophus ferrumequinum (greater horseshoe bat) is the source of this 232-nucleotide small nucleolar RNA. The record is from Ensembl. Lineage: Eukaryota; Metazoa; Chordata; Mammalia; Chiroptera; Rhinolophidae.
ACAGUUGGUUUUUAGUUAAAUGUGAUUUCCUGUUGAAAACUUCUAUAAACUCACAGAUUACGUAGUGUUUUUUUUUUUUUUUUUAUCAUGACAACUAUGUAGAAUAUAUGGUAAAGGUGCCUCCGUCCCUGCUGCUGCUUCCAGUUCCUGGCAGAUGCCUGCAGGGGGGCCCACAGGUGAGGACCAAAAUAAGACUAGGCACAGCCACCUGAGCGCAACCUUGGAUCUGACA